Molecule: ribosomal RNA, 254 nt
Filed under: uncultured bacterium
Lineage: Bacteria
Description: partial 16S ribosomal RNA
Rfam family: Bacterial small subunit ribosomal RNA
Source: RNAcentral
UACAGAGGUCCCAAGCGUUUGUUCGGAUUCAUUGGGCGUAAAGGGUGCGUAGGCGGCGCGGUAAGUCGGGUGUGAAAUCUCGGGGCUUAACUCCGAAACUGCAUUCGAUACUGCCGUGCUUGAGGACUGGAGAGGAGACUGGAAUUUACGGUGUAGCGGUGAAAUGCGUAGAUAUCGUAAGGAAGACCAGUGGCGAAGGCGGGUCUCUGGACAGUUCCUGACGCUGAGGCACGAAGGCCAGGGGAGCAAACGGG